CUGCCUGGAACUUCUCCCCAGGCAAAGAUGUCCUUCAGAGAAUCUAUUCCACAUGCCAUGUGUGAUCCUUCAGAAGCUUUCAGUUUAGGCAUUUGGGAGUAAUUCUUUCCAAGUAGAAAUCUAGGUCUGACCAUGUUCUCUGCCUUGGAGUGACGAAUGCUUCUGAGCAAUCCAGACUGCUCUUCGAUACUUUGUUCUGUAUCAACCUAGGACUGCCAUACAUAACAAGGCGUGGAGGAGCAUGACAAGACGGGACCAUAUGGACUGAUGGAGACAGGUGGGUAAAUCAGAAGAAGUUACUAAAUGGUGUUGAUCAUUGCUGAGGUGGGAUGAUAUGGUGAAGAACUUGAAGUCGAAAGCAACUUCUUGACUGUCGGUAAUUUACCUUGGUAUAUGAGUUUCACGUGGGCUUAUUUCUGUAUCGGUUUGAUACUUGACU
Molecule: long non-coding RNA, 439 nt
Organism: Triticum dicoccoides
Lineage: Eukaryota; Viridiplantae; Streptophyta; Magnoliopsida; Poales; Poaceae
Exons: 3
Source: RefSeq, a predicted model, not a curated record